Molecule: ribosomal RNA, 327 nt
Filed under: uncultured eukaryote
Lineage: Eukaryota
Description: partial 18S ribosomal RNA
Rfam family: Eukaryotic small subunit ribosomal RNA
Source: RNAcentral
CCCUUAGAUGUUCUGGGCCGCACGCGCGCUACACUGACGAAUGCAACGAGCUUAUAACCUUGGCCGAAAGGUCUGGGUAAUCUCCAAAUUUCGUCGUGAUGGGGAUAGAUUAUUGCAAUUAUUAAUCUUCAACGAGGAAUGCCUAGUAAGCGCAAGUCAUCAGCUUGCGUUGAUUACGUCCCUGCCCUUUGUACACACCGCCCGUCGCUCCUACCGAUUGAAUGGUCCGGUGAAGCGUUCGGACCGUGGCCUUUGGACGGUUCGCCGUCUGUUGGCUGCGGGAAGUUCGUUAAACCUUAUCAUUUAGAGGAAGGAGAAGUCGUAAUA